This is a non-coding RNA of Podarcis lilfordi (Lilford's wall lizard), 76 nucleotides long. The record is from the annotation of a GenBank genome assembly. Lineage: Eukaryota; Metazoa; Chordata; Lepidosauria; Squamata; Lacertidae.
UGAAAUAGCUCAGUCGGUACAGCAUGAAACUCUGAAUCUCAGGGUCAUGGGUUCAAGCUGUGUACCAAUGGCUCAG